This 74-nucleotide transfer RNA is filed under the name Deltaproteobacteria bacterium. Its description in RNAcentral is "tRNA-Gln". It matches the Rfam family "tRNA". Rfam says of the family: Transfer RNA (tRNA) molecules are approximately 80 nucleotides in length. Their secondary structure includes four short double-helical elements and three loops (D, anti-codon, and T loops). The record is from RNAcentral. RNAcentral also lists the same sequence under 1 other name. Lineage: Bacteria; Pseudomonadati; Myxococcota; Myxococcia.
UCGGGGAUCGUCUAAUGGUAGGACUACGGAUUCUGAUUCCGUCUAUCAAGGUUCGAAUCCUUGUCCCCGAACCA